AACGCACAUUGCGCCUCCGGGUAUUCCUGGAGGCAUGCCUGUUCGAGCGUCGUUUAGACCAUGAGGCUUUGCCUUGCGAUGGCAUUCGGGGUCGGUCCCGUUUGCCGAAACAUGUUGGCAUUUGAAGUUGGCCGAGUACAGCAAAAUUGUAUGACAGUCAAAAUCGAAGCGCUUGAAACACUUACAAGGUCGACCUCGGAUCAGGCAAGAUUACCCGCUGAACUUAA
RNAcentral lists this unclassified non-coding RNA (227 nucleotides) under uncultured Ascomycota. RNAcentral describes it as "sequence contains 5.8S rRNA gene, ITS2, 28S rRNA gene". The stretch from base 1 to 52 matches the Rfam family "5.8S ribosomal RNA", at positions 103 to 154 of the family's 154-position model. The record is from RNAcentral. Lineage: Eukaryota; Fungi; Ascomycota.